RNAcentral lists this long non-coding RNA (227 nucleotides) under Theobroma cacao (cacao). RNAcentral describes it as "long non-coding RNA (TCAC_LNC000190)". Lineage: Eukaryota; Viridiplantae; Streptophyta; Magnoliopsida; Malvales; Malvaceae. The record is from RNAcentral.
GACAAGGAAACCAACAAAAAUUCCCCUUAUCCGACAGCAUGUAGUAUUACGAAAAUGGACCAGUCGGAAUUCCCAACAAUUUAACCCUCUUAUUAGAUCAGACAGACCACCGAUUCUGAUUCAUCAGUCGGUCCGAUCAAGUUCGGCCAACACUCAUUCACAUGAAAAAAUCAUGCACGGCAUGCCGUACAGAAAGGGUUGGACCACCAAUGCAGCGGAUGGAAACG